AGAGUUUGAUCCUGGCUCAGGACGAACGCUGGCGGCGUGCUUAACACAUGCAAGUCGAACGGUGAAGCCCUUCGGGGUGGAUCAGUGGCGAACGGGUGAGUAACACGUGGGCAAUCUGCCCUGCAUUCUGGGACAAGCCUUGGAAACGAGGUCUAAUACCGGAUACGACGCAUCUCCGCAUGGAGUGUGCGUGGAAAGCUCCGGCGAUGCAGGAUGAGCCCGCGGCCUAUCAGCUUGUUGGUGGGGUAAUGGCCUACCAAGGCGACGACGGGUAGCCGGCCUGAGAGGGCGACCGGCCACACUGGGACUGAGACACGGCCCAGACUCCUACGGGAGGCAGCAGUGGGGAAUAUUGCACAAUGGGCGAAAGCCUGAUGCAGCGACGCCGCGUGAGGGAUGACGGCCUUCGGGUUGUAAACCUCUUUCAGCAGGGAAGAAGCGCAAGUGACGGUACCUGCAGAAGAAGCACCGGCUAACUACGUGCCAGCAGCCGCGGUAAUACGUAGGGUGCGAGCGUUGUCCGGAUUUAUUGGGCGUAAAGAGCUCGUAGGCGGCUUGUCGCGUCGGAUGUGAAAGCCCGGGGCUUAACUCCGGGUCUGCAUUCGAUACGGGCAGGCUAGAGUGUGGUAGGGGAGAUCGGAAUUCCUGGUGUAGCGGUGAAAUGCGCAGAUAUCAGGAGGAACACCGGUGGCGAAGGCGGAUCUCUGGGCCAUUACUGACGCUGAGGAGCGAAAGCGUGGGGAGCGAACAGGAUUAGAUACCCUGGUAGUCCACGCCGUAAACGUUGGGAACUAGGUGUGGGUCACAUUCCACGUGGUCCGCGCCGCAGCUAACGCAUUAAGUUCCCCGCCUGGGGAGUACGGCCGCAAGGCUAAAACUUAAAGGAAUUGACGG
Molecule: ribosomal RNA, 894 nt
Filed under: uncultured bacterium
Lineage: Bacteria
Description: bacterial SSU rRNA
Rfam family: Bacterial small subunit ribosomal RNA
Source: RNAcentral